Molecule: long non-coding RNA, 764 nt
Organism: Melitaea cinxia (Glanville fritillary)
Lineage: Eukaryota; Metazoa; Arthropoda; Insecta; Lepidoptera; Nymphalidae
Exons: 2
Source: RefSeq, a predicted model, not a curated record
AUAUUGUUUUUCAAAUGUCUACCUAUCCUUGAGUCACGGUCGAAUAACUCAAUAAGAAAUACGGAUAUCAAUCUAAAAUUUGGCACUGGUUUAGUAGUUCUUUGCCCGCGUCUAUUUUCGAUAAAUAAAAUUUAGAAUCAAUUUUGUUUUCAUUUAAUUUAAAUUUGGAAUUGAAAGAAAAUAACCGAAAGACGAGUGAAGGAAGAGCAAUAUAAAUAUUUUUAAUAGAAUAAAUUUAAUAUCCGUGAUUACGUAAAAUUUUGACGGGUCAAUCCUCAGGCGGAAAUCGAAUCACGCCGAGAAGCGGAAAGUAUCGAUUCCCCGUCGCGAGUGUGCACGUGACCAUAAAAGGUGGAUUUUAACAUGUACAUACUAAAAAUGAAAGUUUUAUAAUAAAAGUACAUAAAGAAUGUAAUAUAGUGAAUGCAAAACAUCGUGAAACUUCGAGACAGUUUCUAUCACCACCAAUUUGCAGUGGAGCACCUUGAUAUUAAUUCGACAUAAAUGAUAAAGAUAAUAACGACGUGUGUGUUCUAGUAGCGCUGUAUUGCAUACAAAGGUACUAAAUUUAUGAUAAACUAUUGUUUUUUUUUUUUUUCUAGAAAAUAACUGCGCAGUUUAUUGCCGACACUUCUCCGCAGAAACUGCAUUCUGAAACGGUAGUAGAUUCUCUUUUAAAUAGUUAGAAGUGAAAAAAUAAAUAGAUAUUUGAUUUGUAAAAAGACGAUUAGAAAGUGCCUUUAAAAUCUACUUUAUUUGAGUAA